Molecule: ribosomal RNA, 854 nt
Filed under: uncultured bacterium
Lineage: Bacteria
Description: bacterial SSU rRNA
Rfam family: Bacterial small subunit ribosomal RNA
Source: RNAcentral
AAUGAACGCUGGCGGCGUGCUUAACACAUGCAAGUCGUACGAGAAAUCCUCUGCUUGCAGGGGAGAGUAAAGUGGCGCACGGGUGAGUAUCGCGUGGGUAAUCUACCCUUGAAUUCAGGAUAACACUUCGAAAGGGGUGCUAAUACUGGAUAACAUCCUGAUGGUUUAGACCAUAAGGAUCAAAGAUAGCCUCUACAUGUAAGCUAUAGUUCAGGGAUGAGCCCGCGUACCAUUAGCUAGUUGGUGGGGUAAGAGCCUACCAAGGCAACGAUGGUUAGCUGGUCUGAGAGGAUGAUCAGCCACACUGGAACUGAAACACGGUCCAGACUCCUACGGGAGGCAGCAGUGAGGAAUUUUGCGCAAUGGGGGAAACCCUGACGCAGCAACGCCGCGUGAGUGAAGAAGGCUUUCGGGUCGUAAAGCUCUGUCAAGAGGGAAGAAAGUGGGAGAUGGUAAUACUGUUUUCUAUUGACGGUACCUCUGAAGGAAGCACCGGCUAACUCCGUGCCAGCAGCCGCGGUAAUACGGGGGGUGCAAGCGUUAUUCGGAUUUAUUGGGCGUAAAGAGCGCGUAGGCGGUUUAUCAAGUCAGAUGUGAAAGCCCUGGGCUCAACCUGGGAAGUGCAUUUGAAACUAGUAGACUUGAGUAUGGGAGAGGGAAGUGGAAUUCCUGGUGUAGAGGUGAAAUUCGUAGAUAUCAGGAGGAACACCGGUGGCGAAGGCGACUUCCUGGACCAAUACUGACGCUGAGGCGCGAAGGCGUGGGGAGCAAACAGGAUUAGAUACCCUGGUAGUCCACGCAGUAAACGGUGAUCACUAGGUGUAGCGGGUAUUGACCCCUGCUGUGCCGCAGUU